RNAcentral lists this ribosomal RNA (253 nucleotides) under uncultured bacterium. Its description in RNAcentral is "partial 16S ribosomal RNA". It matches the Rfam family "Bacterial small subunit ribosomal RNA", at positions 524 to 776 of the family's 1533-position model. The record is from RNAcentral.
UACAGAGGGUGCGAGCGUUGUUCGGAAUUAUUGGGCGUAAAGGGCGCGUAGGCGGUGCGGUAAGUCACCUGUGAAAUCUCCUGGCUUAACUGGGAGCCUGCAGGCGAAACUACCGUGCUGGAGUGUGGGAGAGGUGCGUGGAAUUCCCGGUGUAGCGGUGAAAUGCGCAGAUAUCGGGAAGAACACCCGUGGCGAAGGCGGCUCUCUGGGACGGUACUGACGCUGAGACGCGAAAGCGUGGGGAGCGAACAGG